RNAcentral lists this ribosomal RNA (447 nucleotides) under uncultured bacterium. RNAcentral describes it as "bacterial SSU rRNA". It matches the Rfam family "Bacterial small subunit ribosomal RNA", at positions 64 to 507 of the family's 1533-position model. The record is from RNAcentral.
GAGCGGAUGACAGGAGCUUGCUCCUUGAUUCAGCGGCGGACGGGUGAGUAAUACCUAGGAAUCUGCCUGGUAGUGGGGGACAACGUUUCGAAAGGAACGCUAAUACCGCAUACGUCCUACGGGAGAAAGCAGGGGACCUUCGGGCCUUGCGCUAUCAGAUGAGCCUAGGUCGGAUUAGCUAGUUGGUGGGGUAAUGGCUCACCAAGGCGACGAUCCGUAACUGGUCUGAGAGGAUGAUCAGUCACACUGGAACUGAGACACGGUCCAGACUCCUACGGGAGGCAGCAGUGGGGAAUAUUGGACAAUGGGCGAAAGCCUGAUCCAGCCAUGCCGCGUGUGUGAAGAAGGUCUUCGGAUUGUAAAGCACUUUAAGUUGGGAGGAAGGGCAGUAAGUUAUGCCCUGCUGUUUUGACGUUACCGACAGAAUAAGCACCGGCUAACUCUGUG